CAAUAGCGUAUAUUAAAGUUGUUGCGGUUAAAAAGCUCGUAGUUGGAUUUCUGUUGAAGACGGUCGGUCCGCUCUAUGAGCGUGUAUCUGAUUCGGCUUUGGCAUCCUCGUGGGGAACGUAACUGUGCUUGAUUGCAUGGUGCGGUAUUCACGACUUUUACUUUGAGGAAAUUAGAGUGUUCACAGCAGGCAAGCGCCUUGAAUACAUUAGCAUGGAAUAAUAAUAUAGGGCUUUGGUUUCUAUUUUGUUGGUUUCUAGGACUAAAGUAAUGAUUAAUAGGGAUAAUUGGGGGCGAUUCGUAUUUAACUUAGUCAGAGGUGGAAAUUACUUGGAUUUGUUAAAGACGGACUACUGCGAAAGCAUUUGUCCAAGGAUGUUUUCAUUGAUCAAGAACGAAAGUUAGGGAGUCGAAGAUGAUCAGAUACCAU
This 429-nucleotide ribosomal RNA is filed under the name uncultured eukaryote. Its description in RNAcentral is "bacterial SSU rRNA". It matches the Rfam family "Eukaryotic small subunit ribosomal RNA", at positions 592 to 1018 of the family's 1831-position model. The record is from RNAcentral.